AUGGCGGCGGCAAUGGCCGCGACGACAAUGGUGACCAAGAACAACCGCGCCUCGCUCGUCAUGGACAAGAAGAACUGGUUAUUGCGGCCGGUCCCUGAGGUCGCCUUCCCUUGGAGCUCGCAGCCCGAGUCCAGGAGCUUGGACUUCCCACGCAGGGCUCUGUUCGCCAGCGUGGGACUCAGCCUGUCCCACGGCGCCCCGCCGGUAGCGCGCGAGCAUGACGGGAAGGCUCGGCCCGCCGACGACGUCGCACACCAGCUCGCAGCCGCGGGCGAGGCGGGCGUCCAGAAGGCCCAGAAGGCGAAAAAGGCCAAAAAGCAGCAGCUGAGUCUGAGGAAGGUGAGGGUCAAGAUCGGCAACCCGCACCUGCGGCGGCUGGUCAGCGGCGCCAUCGCCGGCGCCGUGUCGAGGACUUUCGUGGCGCCACUGGAGACGAUCAGGACGCACCUGAUGGUGGGGAGCUCCGGCGCCGACUCCAUGGCCGGGGUUUUCCGGUGGAUCAUGCGGACGGAGGGGUGGCCCGGCCUCUUCCGCGGCAACGCCGUCAACGUCCUCCGCGUCGCGCCAAGCAAGGCCAUCGAGCACUUCACUUACGACACGGCGAAGAAGUACCUGACCCCGGAGGCCGGCGAGCCAGCCAAGGUCCCCAUCCCCACGCCGCUCGUCGCCGGAGCGCUCGCCGGAGUGGCGUCAACCCUGUGCACCUAUCCCAUGGAGCUCGUCAAGACCCGUCUCACCAUCGAGAAGGACGUGUACGACAACCUCCUCCACGCGUUCGUCAAGAUCGUGCGCGACGAAGGCCCGGGGGAGCUGUACCGCGGGCUGGCGCCGAGCCUGAUCGGCGUGGUGCCGUACGCGGCGGCCAACUUCUACGCCUACGAGACGCUGCGCGGCGUGUACCGCCGCGCGUCGGGGAAAGAGGAGGUGGGCAACGUGCCGACGCUGCUGAUCGGGUCCGCGGCGGGCGCCAUAGCCAGCACGGCCACGUUCCCGCUGGAGGUGGCGCGGAAGCAGAUGCAGGUGGGCGCCGUGGGCGGGAGGCAGGUGUACAAGAACGUGCUGCACGCCAUGUACUGCAUCCUCGAGAAGGAGGGCACCGCCGGGCUCUACCGCGGGCUCGGCCCCAGCUGCAUCAAGCUCAUGCCCGCCGCCGGCAUCUCCUUCAUGUGCUACGAGGCCUGCAAGAAGAUACUUGUCGACGAGAAAGAAGACGGCGGCGCCGCCGAGCCCCAGGAGGAGACGGAGACCGGACAGGCAGGAGGACAGGCGGCGCCCAAGAGCUCGAACGGUGAUCGGCCAUGA
This 1302-nucleotide ribosomal RNA is filed under the name Triticum aestivum (bread wheat). RNAcentral describes it as "partial small subunit ribosomal RNA". Lineage: Eukaryota; Viridiplantae; Streptophyta; Magnoliopsida; Poales; Poaceae. The record is from RNAcentral.